Molecule: ribosomal RNA, 253 nt
Filed under: uncultured bacterium
Lineage: Bacteria
Description: partial 16S ribosomal RNA
Rfam family: Bacterial small subunit ribosomal RNA
Source: RNAcentral
UACAGAGGUCUCAAGCGUUGUUCGGAUUCAUUGGGCGUAAAGGGUGCGUAGGCGGCGCGGUAAGUCGGGUGUGAAAUCUCGGAGCUUAACUCCGAAACUGCAUUCGAUACUGCCGUGCUUGAGGACUGGAGAGGAGACUGGAAUUUACGGUGUAGCGGUGAAAUGCGUAGAUAUCGUAAGGAAGACCAGUGGCGAAGGCGGGUCUUUGGACAGUUCCUGACGCUGAGGCACGAAGGUCAGGGGAGCAAACGGG